AACGAGGCCGACCUGCGGCUGAGUUACCUGCGGAGGGAUCAUUAACCUUUCAAAUCAGGGUGCGGCGCGGCCCCCGAGGAGCGGAAACAAUCCUUGGGAGGUAUGCGGGGGCUUCGAGCCCCCCAUUUACGCACGCACGACUGCCAUCCUUACUUUACGAGCACCUUCUGUUCUCCCUCGGCGGGGCAACCUGCCGUUGGAACCGAAUAAACUCUUUUUGCAUCUAGCAUUACCUGUUCC
Molecule: unclassified non-coding RNA, 240 nt
Filed under: soil metagenome
Description: partial contains 5.8S ribosomal RNA, internal transcribed spacer 2, and large subunit ribosomal RNA
Source: RNAcentral